UACAGAGGGGGCAAGCGUUAUUCGGAAUUAUUGGGCGUAAAGGGCGCGUAGGCGGCCUGGCAAGUGGAAGGUGAAAUCCCUCGGCUUAACCGAGGAACUGCCUCCCAAACUGCUUGGCUUGAGACCGGGAGAGGUGAGUGGAAUUCCCAGUGUAGCGGUGAAAUGCGCAGAUAUCAGGAGGAACACCGGUGGCGAAGGCGGGUCUCUGGGCCGUAACUGACGCUGAGGAGCGAAAGCAUGGGGAGCGAACAGG
Molecule: ribosomal RNA, 253 nt
Filed under: uncultured bacterium
Lineage: Bacteria
Description: partial 16S ribosomal RNA
Rfam family: Bacterial small subunit ribosomal RNA
Source: RNAcentral